GUGGGGAAUAUUGGACAAUGGGGGGAACCCUGAUCCAGCCAUGCCGCGUGUGUGAAGAAGGCCUUUUGGUUGUAAAGCACUUUAAGCGAGGAGGAGGCUACCGAGAUUAAUACUCUUGGAUAGUGGACGUUACUCGCAGAAUAAGCACCGGCUAACUCUGUGCCAGCAGCCGCGGUAAUACAGAGGGUGCAAGCGUUAAUCGGAUUUACUGGGCGUAAAGCGCGCGUAGGUGGCCAAUUAAGUCAAAUGUGAAAUACCCGAGCUUAACUUGGGAAUUGCAUUCGAUACUGGUUGGCUAGAGUAUGGGAGAGGAUGGUAGAAUUCCAGGUGUAGCGGUGAAAUGCGUAGAGAUCUGGAGGAAUACCGAUGGCGAAGGCAGCCAUCUGGCCUAAUACUGACACUGAGGUGCGAAAGCAUGGGGAGCAAACAGGAUUAGAAACCCGAGUAGUCC
This 451-nucleotide ribosomal RNA is filed under the name uncultured bacterium. RNAcentral describes it as "bacterial SSU rRNA". It matches the Rfam family "Bacterial small subunit ribosomal RNA", at positions 354 to 796 of the family's 1533-position model. The record is from RNAcentral.